This 345-nucleotide long non-coding RNA is filed under the name Linum usitatissimum (flax). RNAcentral describes it as "long non-coding RNA (LUSI_LNC003039)". The record is from RNAcentral. Lineage: Eukaryota; Viridiplantae; Streptophyta; Magnoliopsida; Malpighiales; Linaceae.
CACCUCCAUACCAUUACACUUCUCCUCCUCCUCCUAAGAAGUCUCCACCGCCUCCAUACCAUUACUCGUCGCCGCCUCCUCCUAAGAAAUCCCCGCCACCUUCAUACCAUUACAGUUCUCCUCCUCCUCCUCCUAAGAAAUCUCCACCACCACCAUACCAUUAUAGUUCUCCUCCCCCUCCAGUGAAAUCUCCACCGCCUCCAUACCAUUACUCGUCACCACCUCCUCCUAAGAAGUCUCAUCCGCCACCAUAUCAUUACUCGUCUCCUCCCCCUCCAGUGAAAUCUCCACUGCCUCCAUAUCACUACUCAUCGCCUCCUCCUCCUCCUAAAAAGUCUCCACCGC